GUUGCCACCACGAGAGGUGGGGACGUCAGGCGGGGACCGCCGGUGACAAACCGGAGGAAGGUGGGGACGGACGUCAAGUCAUCAUGGCCCUUAUGUCCUGGGCUACACACGUGCUACAAUGGCCGGUACAGAGCGCAGCGAGGCCGCGAGGCGGAGCGAAUCGCUUAAAGCCGGUCCCAGUACGGAUUGGAGUCUGCAACCCGACUCCAUGAAGUUGGAAUCGCUAGUAAUCGCGCAUCAGCAUGGCGCGGUGAAUACGUUCCCGGGCCUU
This 271-nucleotide ribosomal RNA is filed under the name uncultured Spirochaeta sp. RNAcentral describes it as "partial 16S ribosomal RNA". It matches the Rfam family "Bacterial small subunit ribosomal RNA", at positions 1114 to 1382 of the family's 1533-position model. Lineage: Bacteria; Pseudomonadati; Spirochaetota; Spirochaetia; Spirochaetales; Spirochaetaceae. The record is from RNAcentral.